Molecule: ribosomal RNA, 516 nt
Filed under: Ostracion cubicum (yellow boxfish)
Lineage: Eukaryota; Metazoa; Chordata; Actinopteri; Tetraodontiformes; Ostraciidae
Description: Ostracion cubicus (yellow boxfish) partial large subunit ribosomal RNA
Rfam family: Bacterial large subunit ribosomal RNA
Source: RNAcentral
UGUGACGAUAAGUUUAACGGCCGCGGUAUUUUGACCGUGCGAAGGUAGCGCAAUCACUUGUCUCUUAAAUGGGGACCUGUAUGAAUGGCACCACGAGGGCUUGACUGUCUCUACUUUCCGGUCAAUGAAAUUGAUCCCCCCGUGCAGAAGCGGGGAUUACAGCAUAAGACGAGAAGACCCUAUGGAGCUUUAGACACUAAAGCAGAUCACGUCAAACACCCCUAAUUAAAGGAAUAAACCAAAUGAACCCUGCCCUACUGUCUUUGGUUGGGGCGACCGCGGGGAAAUACAAAACCCCCACGUGGAAUGAGACCACCUGUCUUAAAACCAAGAGCUCCCGCUCUACUAAACAGAACUUCUGACCAAUAAGAUCCGGCUCUGCCGAUCAACGGACCGAGUUACCCUAGGGAUAACAGCGCAAUCCCCUUCUAGAGCCCAUAUCGACAAGGGGGUUUACGACCUCGAUGUUGGAUCAGGACAUCCUAAUGGUGCAGCCGCUAUUAAGGGUUCGUUUGU